UACAGAGGGCCCAAGCGUUGUUCGGAUUCACUGGGCGUAAAGGGUGCGUAGGCGGUCAGGUAAGUCUGAUGUGAAAUCUCUGGGCUUAACCCAGAAAUGGCAUUGGAUACUAUUUGGCUUGAGUGUUGGAGGGGGGACUGGAAUUCUUGGUGUAGCAGUGAAAUGCGUAGAUAUCAAGAGGAACACCAGUGGCGAAGGCGAGUCCCUGGACAUCUUCUGACGCUGAGGCACGAAAGCUAGGGGAGCAAACAGG
Molecule: ribosomal RNA, 253 nt
Filed under: uncultured bacterium
Lineage: Bacteria
Description: partial 16S ribosomal RNA
Rfam family: Bacterial small subunit ribosomal RNA
Source: RNAcentral